This is a long non-coding RNA of Austrofundulus limnaeus, 276 nucleotides long. RefSeq lists it as uncharacterized. Lineage: Eukaryota; Metazoa; Chordata; Actinopteri; Cyprinodontiformes; Rivulidae. The record is from RefSeq and is a predicted model, not a curated record. The transcript is spliced from 3 exons.
CGGCUCCUGUCCGGAACCACGGGCCGGGGAGAAGUAGUCCCUGUGGACCAGAGGCAGGUCCGAGUCCAGGAACAUGGGCAGGCUCAGGCUCGGUUCGGUCCAAUUAAACCCACCUGCUGGAGCAGAAGCAGCUCAGCGGCGCCACCAACAGGCCGGUACCGGAACCACAGCCAACUGGACCAGAACCCGGUUCUGCUGCAGCUCCUGGAUCAGGUGGUCCCGCUCCUCUGCGUCCAUCAGGACCUGCUGCGAUGGAGAAGAGAAAUAAGAACUAUA